RNAcentral lists this ribosomal RNA (490 nucleotides) under uncultured bacterium. RNAcentral describes it as "partial 16S ribosomal RNA". It matches the Rfam family "Bacterial small subunit ribosomal RNA", at positions 30 to 507 of the family's 1533-position model. The record is from RNAcentral.
AUUGAACGCUGGCGGCAGGCCUAACACAUGCAAGUCGAACGGUAACAGGAAGCAGCUUGCUGCUUUGCUGACGAGUGGCGGACGGGUGAGUAAUGUCUGGGAAACUGCCUGAUGGAGGGGGAUAACUACUGGAAACGGUAGCUAAUACCGCAUAACGUCGCAAGACCAAAGGGGGGGACCUUCGGGCCUCUUGCCAUCGGAUGUGCCCAGAUGGGAUUAGCUAGUAGGUGGGGUAACGGCUCACCUAGGCGACGAUCCCUAGCUGGUCUGAGAGGAUGACCAGCCACACUGGAACUGAGACACGGUCCAGACUCCUACGGGAGGCAGCAGUGGGGAAUAUUGCACAAAGGGCGCAAGCCUGAUGCAGCCAUGCCGCGUGUAUGAAGAAGGCCUUCGGGUUGUAAAGUACUUUCAGCGGGGAGGAAGGGAGUAAAGUUAAUACCUUUGCUCAUUGACGUUACCCGCAGAAGAAGCACCGGCUAACUCCGUG